Molecule: ribosomal RNA, 958 nt
Filed under: Geastrum lageniforme
Lineage: Eukaryota; Fungi; Basidiomycota; Agaricomycetes; Geastrales; Geastraceae
Description: eukaryotic LSU rRNA
Rfam family: Eukaryotic large subunit ribosomal RNA
Source: RNAcentral
UUUGACCUCAGAUCAGGCAGGACUACCCGCUGAACUUAAGCAUAUCAAUAAGCGGAGGAAAAGAAACUAACAAGGAUUCCCUUAGUAACGGCGAGUGAAGAGGGAAGAGCUCAAAUUUGAAAUCUGGCGGCCUACGGUCGUCCGAGUUGUAAUCUAGAGAAGUGUUUUCCUUACUGGACCGUGUACAAGUCCUUUGGAACAAGGCGUCAUAGAGGGUGAGAAUCCCGUCUACGACACGGACUCCCAGUAUUUUGUGAUACACUCUCAACGAGUCGAGUUGUUUGGGAAUGCAGCUCAAAAUGGGUGGUAAAUUCCAUCUAAAGCUAAAUAUGGGCGAAAGACCGAUAGCGAACAAGUACCGUGAGGGAAAGAUGAAAAGCACUUUGGAAAGAGAGUUAAACAGUACGUGAAAUUGUUGAAAGGGAAACGCUUGAAGUCAGUCGCGUCUUCAGAAACUCAGCCUGGCUUCUGCCUUGCGUACUUUUCUGUGGGACGGGCCAGCAUCAGUUUCGGCCGCCAGAAAAAGGUGGGAGGAAGGUGGCACCUCCGGGUGUGUUAUAGCCUCCUAUCGUAUGUGGCGGCGGGGACUGAGGACCGCAGCACGCCUUUAUGGCCGGGGUUCGCCCACGUAACGUGCUUAGGAUGCUGGCGUAAUGGCUUUAAACGACCCGUCUUGAAACACGGACCAAGGAGUCUAACAUGCCUGCGAGUAUUUGGGUGGCAAACCCAUAUGCGGAAUGAAAGUGAACAGUUGGGACUUCUGUCAUGGAAGGCACCGACGCCCGGACCAGACCUAUUGUGACGGAUCCGAGGUAGAGCAUGUAUGUUGGGACCCGAAAGAUGGUGAACUAUGCCUGAGUAGGGUGAAGCCAGAGGAAACUCUGGUGGAGGCUCGUAGCGAUUCUGACGUGCAAAUCGAUCGUCGAACUUGGGUAUAGGGGCGAAAGACUAAUCGAAC